GUGCUCAUUUUAGCAGCACAUAUACUAAAAUUGGAAUAAUACAGAGAAGAUUAGCAUGGUCUCUGCGCAAGGAAGACAUGCAGAUCUGUGAAGCAUUCCAUAUUAAA
Neogale vison (American mink) is the source of this 107-nucleotide small nuclear RNA. Lineage: Eukaryota; Metazoa; Chordata; Mammalia; Carnivora; Mustelidae. The record is from Ensembl.